Molecule: long non-coding RNA, 1071 nt
Filed under: Scophthalmus maximus (turbot)
Lineage: Eukaryota; Metazoa; Chordata; Actinopteri; Pleuronectiformes; Scophthalmidae
Description: lncRNA (ENSSMAG00000028880.1)
Source: RNAcentral
UGGAUAAAAUACAAAAGCAAAGUGUAAAAGACCGUAGGAUUCUCUGCAUUUUCAAAAUUAGACUAUUCCAAAAUUAGAUUAUUUCACACAAGGGUGGCGCAUGUGUGAUAUUUCAGUUAAUUGGAUGUUGAUGAAAACAGAUGCUUCAAUGAAUCAAACAGUUUGGUGAUUUCAUAUUCACAUUGGGAAAAAUGGUUGGGACUAUGAUAAUAGGUCGACCCAAGAUGGCCACAGUCAGCAUACAGUGUGGUCCAAAAGAUAUUUGAUUUCCUCUGAUCCCACUGUCCCUUUGUUCUGCAUGAACCAAUCAGGGGUGUUUCAAGGGGCCCCAGGCAAAAAGGACCUAAGGGAGGGCCCUGUCUCAGCUUGGGGCCCCAGACAACUUGCCUGCUUUGCCUACCAUGUUGCAACACCCCUGACAACGUUGAAUACACAGUAAUAUUUCAUAGUCAAAGAAGAAGUGUAGAAUGAAAGUGUUAAAACGUUAAGAUCUUGGUUCAAACAAUGUUCUCCACUUGCAAGAACAUGCAGCUUUGGCUUUCAAUGUUCUUCUCAGACGAUAUGAGUAGUGCAAAUUAUUCCGUGACUGUUGAAAGAACGGGGCAAAGCUCCGACUUAAGAGCUGAUGUCAUCAUCCAACAUCCCAUAGUUACUUAUCAGUCUGACCUUGAGGUGUUUCCGGGCUCCUCAUCAUGAAUCAUGUAAGAUAUCAGGUGUCUUAUGGUUUAAUGUAGAUAGAGACCUAUAAGUGCAUGCACUUGGUCAAGACUAAUAAAUCAUCCGCAGUAGCCACAGUAAAGUCUGCUAUCAUCUUAAUGAGACAACGCCCUCUGUUCCUAUGAUCACGCCAACUCCCAUUGUUUCAGGUUGCCAGCUGCCGUAUCCAUAGCACAUGGCUAUCAGUGGUCAGUGUGGUUGCUCUUUUAAAUGUAUCAUCGCAAAGGGGGAUUAUUGAUGAGAGGAAACCCAAGAUUGCGCACUGAAAUGUCUUAAACACCAUAUUUUACAAUUAGUGAGUUCCCUACAGGUGCCUAAUGCUAAUCUUGUAUAUGAGAGAUUCAUAAAUUGUUG